GCCACCUUAGCUCAGUGGUAGAGCACCUGUUUUGUAAACAGGGGGUCCUGGGUUCGAGACCCAGAGGUGGCU
RNAcentral lists this transfer RNA (72 nucleotides) under Minisyncoccota bacterium. RNAcentral's name for it is "tRNA-Thr". It matches the Rfam family "tRNA". From Rfam's summary of the family: Transfer RNA (tRNA) molecules are approximately 80 nucleotides in length. Their secondary structure includes four short double-helical elements and three loops (D, anti-codon, and T loops). Further hydrogen bonds mediate the characteristic L-shaped molecular structure. tRNAs have two regions of fundamental functional importance: the anti-codon, which is responsible for specific mRNA codon recognition, and the 3' end, to which the tRNAs corresponding amino acid is attached (by aminoacyl-tRNA synthetases). tRNAs cope with the degeneracy of the genetic code in two manners: having more than one tRNA (with a specific anti-codon) for a particular amino acid; and 'wobble' base-pairing, i.e. permitting non-standard base-pairing at the 3rd anti-codon position. The record is from RNAcentral. Lineage: Bacteria; Bacillati; Minisyncoccota.